RNAcentral lists this ribosomal RNA (693 nucleotides) under uncultured bacterium. RNAcentral's name for it is "bacterial SSU rRNA". It matches the Rfam family "Bacterial small subunit ribosomal RNA", at positions 8 to 694 of the family's 1533-position model. The record is from RNAcentral.
AGAGUUUGAUCCUGGCUCAGAUUGAACGCUGGCGGCAUGCUUUACACAUGCAAGUCGAACGGCAGCAUGGGUGCUUGCACCUGAUGGCGAGUGGCGGACGGGUGAGUAAUGCAUCGGGACGUGUCUGUAAGAGGGGGAUAACUGUUCGAAAGAACAGCUAAUACCGCAUAAUAUCCGAGGAAGAAAGCUGGGGACCUUAGGGCCUGGCGCUUACAGGGCGACCGAUGUCUGAUUAGCUAGUUGGUAGGGUAAAAGCCUACCAAGGCGACGAUCAGUAGCUGGUCUGAGAGGACGACCAGCCACACUGGGACUGAGAAACGGCCCAGACUCCUACGGGAGGCAGCAGUGGGGAAUUUUGGACAAUGGGGGCAACCCUGAUCCAGCAAUGCCGCGUGUCUGAAGAAGGCCUUCGGGUUGUAAAGGACUUUUGUUGGGGAGCAAGGUGCACAGGUUAAGAGCUAGUGUACUUGAGAGUACCCAAAGAAUAAGGACCGGCUAACUACGUGCCAGCAGCCGCGGUAAUACGUAGGGUCCAAGCGUUAAUCGGAAUUACUGGGCGUAAAGAGUGCGCAGGCGGCUUUGUAAGCUUGAUGUGAAAUCCCCGGGCUCAACCUGGGAACUGCAUUGAGGACUGCAAGGCUAGAGUGUAGCAGAGGGGGGUAGAAUUCCACGUGUAGCGGUGAAAUGCGUAGA